AAUCAACGCUGGCGGCGUGCCUCAGACAUGCAAGUCGAACGCGAAAGUCCCCUUCGGGGGGCGAGUAGAGUGGCGCACGGGUGAGUAACACGUAGGUAAUCUACCUUUGGAUGGGGAAUAACAACCGGAAACGGUUGCUAAUACCGCAUAAUGCAGCGGCACCUAAUGGUGACAGUUGUUAAAGCGGGGGAUUGAAAGACCUCGCGUCUGAAGAGGAGCCUGCGGCGGAUUAGCUAGUUGGAAGGUAACGGCUUACCAAGGCGACGAUCCGUAGCCGGCCUGAGAGGGCGGUCGGCCACACUGACACUGACAUACGGGUCAGACUCCUACGGGAGGCAGCAGUCGGGAAUUUUGGGCAAUGGGCGAAAGCCUGACCCAGCAACGCCGCGUGAAGGAUGAAAUCCCUCGGGAUGUAAACUUCGCAAGAACGGGAAGAAUAAGUAGGGGACAAUACCCCCUAUGAUGACGGUACCGUUUGUAAGCUCCGGCUAACUCCGUGCCAGCCGCCGCGGUAAG
RNAcentral lists this ribosomal RNA (516 nucleotides) under uncultured bacterium. RNAcentral describes it as "bacterial SSU rRNA". It matches the Rfam family "Bacterial small subunit ribosomal RNA", at positions 32 to 524 of the family's 1533-position model. The record is from RNAcentral.